Drosophila ficusphila is the source of this 639-nucleotide long non-coding RNA. RefSeq lists it as uncharacterized. NCBI's taxonomy places the organism in Eukaryota, Metazoa, Arthropoda, Insecta, Diptera, Drosophilidae. The record is from RefSeq and is a predicted model, not a curated record. The transcript is spliced from 3 exons.
GAAAUGAAACUCACUCGAGCAGCCGAACGAAACCGAAAGGAGGCUCGAACGGCGAGUCCUUUGGCGGAGUUGCUUCAGUCCGUCCUCGGCUUUCGAGCGUUACAGUCGCGAGUUCGGAUCAAAAGGACACUGGGCGAGUGAAGAGCGCUUAAAGUGAAGAGGACGAAACCAAAUGCCAGCGAAAUCAGAAUCUGAUUCAGAAAUCAUAAUCAAAAUCGAAUGCGCUGAAAAACGCCAAUGAACAGCAGUAAUAAGAGUCCAAAUCGUAAGCGAAAGGCGAACAAAGUUUGUAGCAUACUUUUUUGGGUUUACGUCAUGUUUGUCUACGCGAACCGCCAUUUGUGCUUGUGUGCCUGACUUCGCACACAAACACACACACACCAUUAUGUCGCCUGUGUUCGUGCCUGUGUCUGUGCCUGUGUUUGUGUUUGCAUUCGUGUCUGUGAGCCAGAAUGCAUGCCAAUCAGAUUCCUGAAUCCUGAGUCCUGAAUCAUCGACUGUCCAAACACCGUGCAUUGCUUUUGUCCGCCUGGGCUAAUUAGCUGCAGGCAGCAGGUCCUUGUGCCGUUUUACCUUCAAGCUAAGUAAAACGUAGUAAAUGAACAAACGACAAAGCAUCCAAAAUCAAAAGUCAAAAUC